GAUGAACGCUGGCGGCGUGCCUAAUACAUGCAAGUCGAGCGAACAGACGAGGAGCUUGCGUCUCUGACGUUAGCGGCGGACGGGUGAGUAACACGUGGAUAACCUACCUAUAAGACUGGGAUAACUUCGGGAAACCGGAGCUAAUACCGGAUGAUAUUUUGAACCGCAUGGUUCAAUAGUGAAAGACGGUCUUGCUGUCACUUAUAGAUGGAUCCGCGCUGCAUUAGCUAGUUGGUAAGGUAACGGCUUACCAAGGCAACGAUGCGUAGCCGACCUGAGAGGGUGAUCGGCCACACUGGAACUGAGACACGGUCCAGACUCCUACGGGAGGCAGCAGUAGGGAAUCUUCCGCAAUGGGCGAAAGCUUGACGGAGCAACGCCGCGUGAGUGAUGAAGGUCUUCGGAUCGUAAAACUCUGUUAUUAGGGAAGAACAAAUGUGUAAGUAACUGUGCACGUCUUGACGGUACCUAAUCAGAAAGCCACGGCUAACUACGUG
RNAcentral lists this ribosomal RNA (497 nucleotides) under uncultured bacterium. RNAcentral's name for it is "partial 16S ribosomal RNA". It matches the Rfam family "Bacterial small subunit ribosomal RNA", at positions 28 to 507 of the family's 1533-position model. The record is from RNAcentral.